This 351-nucleotide long non-coding RNA is filed under the name Solanum tuberosum (potato). Its description in RNAcentral is "long non-coding RNA (STUB_LNC009310)". The record is from RNAcentral. Lineage: Eukaryota; Viridiplantae; Streptophyta; Magnoliopsida; Solanales; Solanaceae.
AAAAUGGAACAAAAUGAUCCAAAUAUAAUCCUAACACAACAAUAUAUCCUCAAAAGAAUUUGCUAGGGAAAAGACCAAAAUGCCCUUAAUGAUUUCCGGACGGAUUUCUUGUCAACUGCCCAACUUUCAAAGGGCCAUAACUCGCUCAUACGAACUCGGAAUUGAGCAAACUCGGCGGCGUUGGAAAGAUCAUUCCACAAGCUUCACAACCAUAACUGGAACUACUUCUAACUCAUCCUGAGCUGGAAGUUAUGACUGCUCAAAGUUGGCCAAAAACCACUGAUUUCCACACUUAGCCAAUUUUCCAGAUUUUUCAAAUCCUUUCCGAAAAUGAAAAAUUUCAAAUUCUAA